AUCCAGUUGACGAGUCCCAAAUAAGAUGAAAUGUGAGUCUUGCAU
This 45-nucleotide non-coding RNA is filed under the name Schistosoma curassoni. The record is from RNAcentral. Lineage: Eukaryota; Metazoa; Platyhelminthes; Trematoda; Strigeidida; Schistosomatidae.